This 72-nucleotide transfer RNA is filed under the name Bos taurus (domestic cattle). It matches the Rfam family "tRNA". From Rfam's summary of the family: Transfer RNA (tRNA) molecules are approximately 80 nucleotides in length. Their secondary structure includes four short double-helical elements and three loops (D, anti-codon, and T loops). The record is from Rfam by way of RNAcentral. Lineage: Eukaryota; Metazoa; Chordata; Mammalia; Artiodactyla; Bovidae. RNAcentral also lists the same sequence under 3 other names.
UCCCUGGUGGCUCAGACAGUAAAGAAUCUGCCUGCCAUGCAGGGGACCCAGGUUCAAUCCCUGGGUUGGGAA